UACGUAGGGCGCAAGCGUUGUCCAGAAUCAUUGGGCGUAAAGCGCGUGUAGGCGGUCCGGUAAGUCCGCUGUGAAAGUCGGGGGCUCAACCCUCGGAUGCCGGUGGAUACUGUCGGGCUUGAGUACGGAAGAGGCGAGUGGAAUUCCUGGUGUAGCGGUGAAAUGCGCAGAUAUCAGGAGGAACACCAAUUGCGAAGGCAGCUCGCUGGGACGUUACUGACGCUGAGACGCGAAAGCGUGGGGAGCAAACAGG
Molecule: ribosomal RNA, 253 nt
Filed under: uncultured bacterium
Lineage: Bacteria
Description: partial 16S ribosomal RNA
Rfam family: Bacterial small subunit ribosomal RNA
Source: RNAcentral